Molecule: long non-coding RNA, 470 nt
Organism: Helianthus annuus (common sunflower)
Lineage: Eukaryota; Viridiplantae; Streptophyta; Magnoliopsida; Asterales; Asteraceae
Exons: 2
Source: RefSeq, a predicted model, not a curated record
CUUUGUGAAUUUCGUUAAACGAAUGCCAAAGUGCUAUCUAAACAAGACUUUACUUUGUGAAUUUCGUUAAGGUUCUAAUCUCGUGACCAUCGAUAGGUUUGAUUUGGUAUAACACUAAUACGUAUUCCACUCUGUUAAACUAAAUAUUUAACUACCCGAAAACUCUGCACUAUACACUUACAAUCAAAGUAGAUGCUCAAUCAUCAGAAGAUUCAGAACUAUAAAGUAGAUACUUAGAAUCAAGAUGCUUGUUUAAUCAAGACUAUAUGCUAACAAGGUAAUGACAGUAGAUUGGAAUAAGAGUGAUGAUACGGCACCGAAAGGCUUAAAGAAGUGGCUUAUUUUAUCAAUUGAAGUAAAUUAAGAAAACAUGGUUUCAUAUAUUCGGGUUUAUCCCUUAUUAAAGCUACCUUUGUAAAACAUGGGUUUUAUCCCAUCUAUUUAAUAAAUAAAAUCCGGUGUUUUCUAAA